GACUUCUGACCUAAGUAGCUGGGCAGGCUGAUACGAACAGACAAAGCGAGCUAUUUUGGAGGCUAGUAAACUUUCAUUUUAGACUAAACUUUGGUUCAGGUGAGGGAAACUAAGGGACGGGGGCUGGCGGUGACAAACAGGCGUUGGCUAUCCAAGCAGGGGCCUAGUAUAUCCUGUUGCUUCCGUAGUUUGCUGACCUAAGCUGAUUUUAGGCACUUUGUCUUGGAAAUGGACACUUUAUGCAUUGUUUCCUUCGGGGUACCUCUGACACAGGAAGGAGAGCUUCCUCUUGGUUGGCGUAUUCCUGUUACAACCUCUCCAGACAGCCCUCGCUGUUCGGCAGGCCCUGUUGGGGCUGCAGGAUCCUGGCCCUCUCCACCCGCUCUGGCCUCGCUGGCCAGGACUGGACUGCCCCUUGCAAGGGCACCUGCACCUCCUGGAGUUUCCUCUCUGAGAUGUGCAUCUCCUUGCACAUCUCACCCCUCACUGACACCCUCCACCCCACUCCUGGGAUGCUGCCUCCUGCUGUAGAUGGUUCUGUCUGGGGCUGCUAGGAGGGUCGGGAAAUUCUCAGAGGGUCUCCAUUUCUGCGUUCAUUUUGUUAGGUCCUCAGCCACUUGUAACGGGGACAUAACACAGGGUCAUGUCUGUAUUAAUGCCAAUGACGUUGAAGCCUCUCUCUCUCUGGACUAUAGAACUAUCCCUAAGAGGCCAGGUGUGGUGGCUCACACCUUAUAAUCCCAACGUUUUGGGAGGACAAGGCAGGAGGAUCACUUGAGGCCCGGAGUUCAAGACCGGCCUGAACAACAUAGCGAGACCCUAUCUCUACCAUAAAAAAGGUAAGAAAUGGCCCUAAGGCAAUCCUAUAUUGUCAGAGGGGGCCGUGCUGGGAGAAGCAGCCCAUGCUUCUCAGCCGGGCUGUCUGGGAGAUGCUGCGUCUGCCUGACCAUUUCCAUACCUUGGUUACUUUCAGCAAUGCUUUGCUCAAAGUUUGUGGAUAUUGGAAGGGCAUUGCUGUAUUUUUUGGUUUCUAAGAGUCACAUUAUUGAUAGAUCUGAAAUCCAGAUGCCUCUCACCCUCGGAACAUCAUUUACUGUGUCAUGUUUCGUGUAUUUCCCGAAAAGCGGUAUCAGUUUUGCGGCCUGUUAGAACUGAAGCAAUAAGGGAUCACCCAGAGGAGAGCUUCGGGCUGCUCCAGAUGUGGCUGUUCUUGGCUCCCACAGACCCAGAACAUCCUCGCCAGCCUGUGCUCCCUAUGGGGCACCCCCUCCAGUGGAAGUGAGGGCAGCCACGCACCCCUGGGAAUGCCUUAGAGAGGGGCCAAUUGCCAUCGCCAGGGGCCUGACUCUGCAACCAUCCACACCUACGGGGAGUCCAUUUGAGAGAUGAGGAAGCUGAAGCUCCAGGCCCCUGGCUCGUGCUGGUCACCCAACCACCCGGAACCUGGUCGCCAACCCGCUGUCAGUUGCUCGGCAGUGGACUCCUCUCCUGGCUCAGGGCGCGGUUCCGGCAGGCGUCCACCAGGUGGCAGCACCGGCACAUUCUGCAGGCUGUUCCGGCUCAGAGCUCGAUGUAGUGCUCUGGGGUAACCUGGGCCCCAGCCUGUCCCCUCCCGCCCCCUGCAGCCCCUCCUCCCACCGCCUGCAGCCCCUCCUCCCGCUCUGUCCAGCUUCGAACAGGCCACUCAGGCCUCCCAGCCUUACUUCCACCGUGGCCCAGGCCAUGACCUUGGCCCCAACUCUGGGCCCUGCCCUAUCUGUCCUUCCUGGUGGUCUGUCUCAUUCACUGCCCUACCCAGGGGAACAGCACCUGGGGCUGGGGGGCAGAUGGCCACGUGGUCCAAUGGUCUCCUUCAUGGCUGGGGUGAAGCUGGGUGGGGUCAAGGGAAGAAGAGGUGGAUCCCAACGGGGGCAGGGCCAGCCAGGGCCUCCCAUCUCCCCUCAGGCCAGGCCUCUGGAGAUGGGGGUGGAACACCUUCCAUGGGAGGCUGCCCCUGGGAACAGGCCUGUAUACUCCCGCCUCGGCCCACCACACAGCCUGUCCCCAAACCUGUUGGGGUGGCGGUGCCCACCAGGAGGAGCUGGGGAGGACCAGCUGCUCUGAGGAUGCUGCUUCCCUCCCAGGACUCCCCACUCCCUCCCUGGCCACCCACUCUUCCACCCAGCAAAGUGAGCCAAAAAUUUGAAAAGCA
This 2191-nucleotide long non-coding RNA is filed under the name Homo sapiens (human). RNAcentral describes it as "non-protein coding lnc-SIVA1-1:2". Lineage: Eukaryota; Metazoa; Chordata; Mammalia; Primates; Hominidae. The record is from RNAcentral.